GUGGGUGUAGUUCAAUGGUAGGACGUUACCUUGCCAAGGUAAAGAUUGUGGGUUCGAGCCCCAUCACUCACUCCA
RNAcentral lists this transfer RNA (75 nucleotides) under Caudoviricetes sp. Its description in RNAcentral is "tRNA-Gly". It matches the Rfam family "tRNA". Rfam says of the family: Transfer RNA (tRNA) molecules are approximately 80 nucleotides in length. Their secondary structure includes four short double-helical elements and three loops (D, anti-codon, and T loops). Lineage: Duplodnaviria; Heunggongvirae; Uroviricota; Caudoviricetes. The record is from RNAcentral.